UAGGGAAUCUUCGGCAAUGGGGGCAACCCUGACCGAGCAACGCCGCGUGAGUGAAGAAGGUUUUCGGAUCGUAAAGCUCUGUUGUAAGAGAAGAACGUGUGUGAGAGUGGAAAGUUCACACAGUGACGGUAACUUACCAGAAAGGGACGGCUAACUACGUGCCAGCAGCCGCGGUAAUACGUAGGUCCCGAGCGUUGUCCGGAUUUAUUGGGCGUAAAGCGAGCGCAGGCGGUUUAAUAAGUCUGAAGUUAAAGGCAGUGGCUUAACCAUUGUUCGCUUUGGAAACUGUUAAACUUGAGUGCAGAAGGGGAGAGUGGAAUUCCAGGUGUAGCGGUGAAAUGCGUAGAUAUAUGGAGGAACACCGGUGGCGAAAGCGGCUCUCUGGUCUGUAACUGACGCUGAGGCUCGAAAGCGUGGGGAGCAAACAGG
Molecule: ribosomal RNA, 429 nt
Filed under: bacterium
Lineage: Bacteria
Description: partial 16S ribosomal RNA
Rfam family: Bacterial small subunit ribosomal RNA
Source: RNAcentral